GGAAUAUUGGACAAUGGGCGCAAGCCUGAUCCAGCCAUGCCGCGUGAGUGAAGAAGGCCCUAGGGUUGUAAAACUCUUUCAGCGGGGAAGAUGAUGACUGUACCCGCAGAAGAAGCCCCGGCUAACUCCGUGCCAGCAGCCGCGGUAAUACGGAGGGGGCUAGCGUUGCUCGGAAUUACUGGGCGUAAAGGGCGCGUAGGCGGGGAGCAUAGUUAGGCGUGAAAGCCCCGGGCUUAACCUGGGAAAUGCGCUUAAUACUGGCUUUCUAGAGUCCGGGAGAGGGUGGUGGAAUUCCCAGUGUAGAGGUGAAAUUCGUAGAUAUUGGGAAGAACACCAGUGGCGAAGGCGGCCACCUGGACCGGUACUGACGCUGAGGCGCGAAAGCGUGGGGAGCAAAC
This 398-nucleotide ribosomal RNA is filed under the name uncultured bacterium. Its description in RNAcentral is "bacterial SSU rRNA". It matches the Rfam family "Bacterial small subunit ribosomal RNA", at positions 358 to 773 of the family's 1533-position model. The record is from RNAcentral.